RNAcentral lists this unclassified non-coding RNA (345 nucleotides) under soil metagenome. RNAcentral describes it as "partial contains 5.8S ribosomal RNA, internal transcribed spacer 2, and large subunit ribosomal RNA". The stretch from base 1 to 119 matches the Rfam family "5.8S ribosomal RNA", at positions 35 to 154 of the family's 154-position model. The record is from RNAcentral.
GAUGAAGAACGUAGCGAAAUGCGAUACGUAAUGUGAAUUGCAAAUUCAGUGAAUCAUCGAGUCUUUGAACGCACAUUGCGCCCCCUGGUAUUCCGGGGGGCAUGCCUGUCCAAGCGUCAUUGCUGCCCUCAAGCACGGCUUGUGUGUUGGGCCCCGUCCUCCGAUCCCGGGGGACGGGCCCGAAAGGCAGCGGCGGCACCGCGUCCGGUCCUCGAGCGUAUGGGGCUUUGUCACCCGCUCUGUAGGCCCGGCCGGCGCUUGCCGAUCAACCCAAAUUUUUAUCCAGGUUGACCUCGGAUCAGGUAGGGAUACCCGCUGAACUUAUGCAUAUCAAUAAGCGGAGGA